RNAcentral lists this small nuclear RNA (105 nucleotides) under Dasypus novemcinctus (nine-banded armadillo). Lineage: Eukaryota; Metazoa; Chordata; Mammalia; Cingulata; Dasypodidae. The record is from RNAcentral.
GCUUGCUUUGGCUGUGCAUAUACUAACAUUAGAACAAUACAGAGAAGAUUAGUAAGGCCCCUGUACAAGGAUGACAUGCAAAUUCAUGAAACAUUGCAUAUUUUU